CAACAUGGCGGCCGCGGCCUCCGCAGGAAGCCGGGGGGCGGGGAGGCGAGCGACGGGCGGGCAGUGACGGUCCGCCCGCUUGCUUGCCCGGCCGGCCGCGGGGCACCGACUCCCCACCGCGGGGGAGCGCGACACUGCGUGACGUGCCUGCUCACCCCGGGAACCGUGGAGCCCUGGAUCACGAGGGCGUGGGCCGAAGCGCUUCGCUUCCCGCGACGUCCCGAAGCCUCCGAGCUGACAGCCCUUCCAGGAGCUGCCACGACCCACCUGGCUCCUCCUCUACGAGGACACUCAAUGUUUACCAAGAAUGCCAACGCCUGAAGAAGUCAGUCCUCCAGGUCCACCCAGAAUUCUCAGCAUCCUUCGUCCUUAGGUAUUCAUGAUUCAGAACUUGGGUUUAUAAAGGAGAAGAAUCAGGAUUUAAGAAAAUAAAAUUCUUGUCUGCAUGCGAUCUGAAGAAAUAAGCUGUAAGCUGUGUUGUGUUGUUCGGUCUCCAGCACAGUGAAAAACAUCUUGGGAACUGGAAAUGGCACCGCAAACUUUGCUUGAUUGGCUUCAAUAGUUGUAGAUGUGUAAGAGACGUCUUCAUUGACGGGGGAAUGGAGAAAGGAGCAACUCUGCUCCUGAGCUGUGGACUAGUGGCCGGCGCAAUGGAUGCGGGACUAUAAUGAAGUCACCUCUUACGAGCGUGAGCCAGGCGAGCAGUAGCCACUGGCUUUGAUUUUCACUUGUUUAUUCUUGAUAUUAAACACGUUAUGCACUCUCUCAUCAUAAACAGCUUUCUUUAAGAAUGAGGAGUUGACGGAAGCCACACAUGCUGCUCGCAUCCCUUAUCUUUCAUCUCUAAGUGUAUCGCCAACCUCUAUCCUUAAUGUGAUGACUAGUGCUUCCUGAUCAUUAAUGAGAAGCAGUGGUCAGAAUGGGAAAUUCAAUGCCUUUCUACCCUUUGCUCUUCUUCAUCAGAAUUUAGAAAUUCCUCAAUCUUUUCAAUUCUAUUCACCAUUGCCUUCUGCAAUGUCUGAAUCUCCUGUCCAGAAUUAUGUUCC
Molecule: long non-coding RNA, 1046 nt
Organism: Microtus oregoni (creeping vole)
Lineage: Eukaryota; Metazoa; Chordata; Mammalia; Rodentia; Cricetidae
Exons: 3
Source: RefSeq, a predicted model, not a curated record